This is a long non-coding RNA of Corticium candelabrum, 954 nucleotides long. RefSeq lists it as uncharacterized. NCBI's taxonomy places the organism in Eukaryota, Metazoa, Porifera, Homoscleromorpha, Homosclerophorida, Plakinidae. The transcript is spliced from 3 exons. The record is from RefSeq and is a predicted model, not a curated record.
UGUUUACAGCGCUUGAGUCACACGUCACGUACACCGACUGUUGUGUCGUUUUGGUGAGAGAGUAGCGGCUUCGGCUUGCGUUUACGAUGCUGAUGAGACUCGUGUAGUGUUCUCUCUCAUUUGCUCACCGUGACGUCGCCUGUGUAGGCACUACAAGAGUGUGUCAAAAUUAACAUUCAUGUGAAUGCAAGUUUGAUAUGUUGUGAUGAUGGAAAGUCAUACCUAGAAAAAUGUGAACUCAAUAGAACAAGAUGUGAAUCUACCGAGGUCAUACAAGUGAACCACAAGGGCCAGUGCAUAAAAACAGAGAUGACAAAGACAGUAGGAUCGAACCGCAUGGACGAGUGCGAUUCUAUCAUUUGUGGACUGGGUAUGAGGUGCAAAGCUUGCGGACACCAAGAACGGCUCGUGUGCAUUUGCUCGAAUCUUUGCCCACCUACAACUAGUGAAAUAUUUGUUCCCUUUCAAGGCUUGGCUGUCUGUUAAUAGUCCUUGCAUUAAUAGUCUUUUGCAGACUCUUGUCUCAACAUCCAGUUUGAAGAAGGACUACCAUGCAGGAACAUUGAGAGGUCAGUUACAUACGUUUUUCCUAGCAUAUAUCAUGUUGCUAAGUGUCUGUUAGAGAAUGAAGUGACACUGUCUCAUUGCAUUUGAGUUUUGUCAUGUCUCUAGUUUGUCUGUCUAUUAUGAGCCAUGUCAUUAUCUACAACAAAGACCCCUGUGUUGCUCAUGCAUGAGAGCUGUAUUAUCAGCAAUGAAUGAAACCAAUUCUAUGAAGUUGUGUGUGUGUGUGUGUGUGUGUGUGUGUGUGUGUGUGUGUGUGUGUGUGUGUGUGUGUGUGUGUGUGUGUGUUGCUAGACAACCCGUCCUCUUAGCCAGGAAUUUUUAUUAAAGGGGAAAAACUAAAAUUUUAGUGCCCAAUUUUUAGGCUAGUAACUUUAAUUAAUGGCAAAC